Molecule: ribosomal RNA, 1035 nt
Filed under: Triticum aestivum (bread wheat)
Lineage: Eukaryota; Viridiplantae; Streptophyta; Magnoliopsida; Poales; Poaceae
Description: partial small subunit ribosomal RNA
Source: RNAcentral
AUGGAGACAGCGCAGGAAAGAGAGCUGCCGCAGCUGCCGCUGCAGCUGCAGGGGUGGCCUUUCCACGCCAUGCCGCCCAGCUUCGACGCCGGCAGCGGCGCCUACAGCAGCGGCGGCAGCAGCAGCAUGAGCAGCGAUUCCUUCCUGCUCGGGUGGGAGCCGCCGUUCGGCGGCUGCUUCGGCCUCGCCGACGCGCAGCUCCACGACCUCUUCCCCCUCUGCAUGAUGGAGCCGCUCCCGCUGUCGCCGGCCGCGACGUCCACGGCGGCGGACCUCCCAUCGGAGCAGCAGGUCCCGGCGCCGGCGGCAAUGUCCAACGGGGAGCUCGGCGACCUCCUGCUGAAUUUCUGGGACGCCGGUGAUGCCAGCGACCGGCCGGUCGCAAUCAAUUCAGGCUGCGUGGCACCGCAGCACGAGAAGAGCAGCCAGAGCAGCGCUGCCACGGCCACGAACUCUUUCCUCUAUGAUGAGGACGAUCUUUUGGGCUCCAUUUUCUCCAAGAGGCCCACCUUGGGAGAAGAACCACCCGUGCUCCUCCUCGCCCCGGCGGAGGCGGAGCCCCUCCUCAGCGCCUCCUCCUCCUCCAGCUGCCACGCGGACCCACCUGCCAGCGACGCCGGCGGGGCCCGGGCGCAGGGCACCACCACCGAGCCAAGUGGCGCGCGGGCCCCGCCCCUCCCUCGCUCCUCCUCCUCGUCGUUGAAACGCGCGACACCGGAAGCAGCAUCGGACUCGGCGGAGGCGGAGUGCAGCCAGAGCGGCGGCAAGCGGCGGAAGGUGUCGGCGAGCGUGCUGUGCCCGUUCGCCGUGCUGAAGCCCGACGGGCUGGACGGCGGCGCGACGCUGGCGGACAUCAACGCGCGCAUCCUCAUGCGGCCGGCGCGGCCCGUGCGGCACCCCGUCGGCGAGUACGCGUGCGCGCCGCGCGUGCUGGCGGCCGACGCGCCGGGCAUCUCGGGCAGGGCCGUCUCGGGGUUCACGAGGCUGCACACCCCCGGCCGCGGCACCAUCACCAUCAUGAGGACGCGAGGCUAA